Molecule: long non-coding RNA, 65 nt
Organism: Etheostoma spectabile (orangethroat darter)
Lineage: Eukaryota; Metazoa; Chordata; Actinopteri; Perciformes; Percidae
Exons: 4
Source: RefSeq, a predicted model, not a curated record
CUCCUAAUGGCAUUUGGAAGUUUCCACUGCGCCUGAAGGAAAACAGGCAAUUAGAGGCACUGUGA